Molecule: ribosomal RNA, 523 nt
Filed under: Graptocleptes sp. 44412
Lineage: Eukaryota; Metazoa; Arthropoda; Insecta; Hemiptera; Reduviidae
Description: partial 16S ribosomal RNA
Rfam family: Bacterial large subunit ribosomal RNA
Source: RNAcentral
AAACAUGGCCUUUUGUGUAUAAAUAUAAGGUCUAACCUGCCCAAUGAUUUAUUUAAUGGCCGCGGUAUAUUAACUGUGCUAAGGUAGCAUAAUCACUUGUCUUUUAAUUAAAGGCUAGAAUGAAUGGUUGAACGAGAUACAAGCUUUCUUUAAUUUAGUUAUUGAAUUUAAUUUUUUGGUUAAAAAGCUAAAAUGUAUUUGAGGGACGAGAAGACCCUAUAGAUCUUUAUAAUUUAGGGUUUUAUAUUUUAUAGAUUAUGAUUUUUUAUAAAAAAUUAAUUUAUUUAGUUGGGGUGACUUUAGAAUAAAAAUAACUUCUAUUUUAAUAUUCAUUAAUUAGUGUAUUCAUGAUCCAAAAAUUUUGAUUAAAAGAAUAAGUUACCUUAGGGAUAACAGCGUAAUUUCUUCGGAGAGCUCAAAUCGAUGAAGGAGUUUGCGACCUCGAUGUUGGAUUAAAAUAAGUUUUAGGUGCAGGAGCUUAAAAACUAGGUCUGUUCGACCUUUAAUUUUUUACAUGAUCUGA